AGAGUUUGAUCAUGGCUCAGGAUGAACGCUAGCGGCAGGCCUAAUACAUGCAAGUCGAGGGGCAGCAGUACUUUUCGGAGUAGCUGGCGACCGGCGCACGGGUGCGUAACGCGUAUGCAAUCUACCCACUGCACAGGGAUAGCCCGUGGAAACAUGGAUUAAUACCUGAUAAUACAGGGAGCCCACCUGGGCAUAUUGUUAAAGUUUUAACGGCAGUGGAUGAGCAUGCGUCCCAUUAGCUAGUUGGUAAGAUAACGGCUUACCAAGGCGAUGAUGGGUAGGGGUUCUGAGAGGAUGAUCCCCCACACUGGUACUGAGAUACGGACCAGACUCCUACGGGAGGCAGCAGUAGGGAAUAUUGGUCAAUGGACGCAAGUCUGAACCAGCCAUGCCGCGUGCAGGAAGACGGCCUUCUGGGUUGUAAACUGCUUUUCUCAGGGAAGAAAACGCUCUUGCGAGAGUACUUGCCGGUACCUGAGGAAUAAGCACCGGCCAACUCCGUGCCAGCAGCCGCGGUAAUACGGAGGGUGCAAGCGUUGUCCGGAUUUAUUGGGUUUAAAGGGUGCGUAGGCGGCCUAUUAAGUCAGUGGUGAAAGGUAUCAGCUUAGCUGAUGACGUGCCAUUGAAACUGAUGGGCUUGAGUACAGACGAGGUAGGCGGAAUUUAUGGUGUAGCGGUGAAAUGCAUAGAUACCAUAAAGAACACCGAUAGCGAAGGCAGCUUACUAGACUGAGACUGACGCUGAGGCACGAAAGCGUGGGGAGCGAACAGGAUUAGAUACCCUGGUAGUCCACGCCGUAAACGAUGAUUACUGGAUGUGUGCGAUACAUAGUACGCGUCUGA
This 843-nucleotide ribosomal RNA is filed under the name uncultured Bacteroidota bacterium. RNAcentral describes it as "bacterial SSU rRNA". It matches the Rfam family "Bacterial small subunit ribosomal RNA", at positions 8 to 850 of the family's 1533-position model. The record is from RNAcentral. Lineage: Bacteria; Pseudomonadati; Bacteroidota.